Long non-coding RNA from Hevea brasiliensis (rubber tree), 1531 nucleotides. RefSeq lists it as uncharacterized. NCBI's taxonomy places the organism in Eukaryota, Viridiplantae, Streptophyta, Magnoliopsida, Malpighiales, Euphorbiaceae. The transcript is spliced from 3 exons. The record is from RefSeq and is a predicted model, not a curated record.
AAUACUUGGGCUAGUUUAUGGUGAUCAAUGAGCAGUUAUGGGCCCGAGCCUCUGCUCUGCAAUUGCGUCCUCACUCUUCCAAAACUUCAGAAUCACUCGCUUCUCUUCGACCGUACGGGCUUUUGGCAUUUUGAAAGUGAUUUUAAUGCAUUAAAAGCAUAAAUUUUGCAUCCAUUUUGUUUCAAAUAGCUGUUAAUUAGGGUUCUCCGAGGUGAGGAUUCUUAUAAAGCGUCAAAAAGAUGGAGGAGACUAUGAAGCAAUUUCAGCAAAAGCUUGAUUGAGCUUGAAACCGAUGCUGAGCACGUUCUUUUAGCCCGGCAUCAGGUUAUUCAUGCCCUUCAACUUUGUUCUGUCUCUCAAAUGAAAGUCGGAUAUGUUUGUUUGCUUGCAAAAUUUGAGGGAAAAGAAAAUUAUCCAUUUCGGUUAUAUGAUGCCCCUCUAUCACAUUUGCCCUGUGUGAGAAAGUAAACCACAGGAGGAUACACUAACAGAAGUUUGUGAGAAUAGAAAACAAACACAUUUGGGAAAUCUAUCACAAACUCAACUCGACUAAGCUUUUAUCCUAAAAGUUUGGAAAAUCUAAGUUUUUUGUUUAAUUAAAGCUGUUGCAGACUUGCAGUUACUUUGCAUGGUCAAAUUUAUUAAAAUUAAGGUGGCAUAUUGCUAUGUAUAUGUUGCUUUUGUUGCUUUUUUUUUUUUUUUUUCAGGUUUCUUUAGUCAGAAACCAGGUUGUUGGUACCUUCUAGCAAUAAAUGUGCAGCUGGUUGAAAACGAUAAAAGAAGGAAUGGGAACAAGGAAGCACUUAAGGCGUUGAGGAAGAAAGCUCGGACAAAGAAACUAGUUUUCCUUCGCCUUUUCAGUCAGUCAUGAAGGAUAUUGGGAGGUCUGCAUCAUGGACUUUGGUGAUGGAGUUAUGUGCAACGUGUGGCAACAAUGACUCAAAUGAGUGCACCUGGAUGAUGUUCCAAGGAACUAAUGUCCUUGCAACCAUACCAUUUCAUGCCGCUCACACCAUCUUGGAAACAGAUGAUGGUAUCUGCUGAAGACUUGAUGCAAGGAUGCAUCUGAAUUAACAGGAACUCAAUGAAGUUCACACAGCUACCGUAACUUAAAGACUGAUAUAGCACGCCCUUUUCCACAUCAGUAUUGGGGCAAACAUGUUUCAUUACAAUCGACAUACUGAAUUAAGUGUGACAUACUAAAUUAAGUGUCUAUAUUGUAAGAUGCUAAGGCCUGCAUAACCCUUCACAUUUGGGUGCUUCAUUGUUCAUUUGUUUCAUUGGACGGUAUUAGAUGUCUGGCAAGGCCUGGAUCAUGUAGAUGUGUAGAUUACUAGUUGCAUUUCUACUUUUUUUUUUUUUUUUAGUUUGUAUCCGUUUGCAUGUGCAAAAACGAAGAUAGACGAGAGAACAUACCAGGGUUAGCAUAGACACUAUCCCCUUUUGGUUUUCAUUUUCACUGUGUCGCCUUCUUUUAGGUGCAAAUGUACUAUCAUUUUCUCUGUGCUUGUUGAAAAUUUUUUUUGGAUGA